GAAACCUCGAAAGCAGCCAAGCCGCGAUUGUACGGAUAUGGCUAACCUGCAGACUGGAAUUCAAUGUGCCUCAGCCUUGAGCCUUUGAUGGCAAGGUGCUGUGGAUUGAUUGCUACAUUCAACGUUCCACUGACCGAAUCCCUUGAAGGGACAAGCCACCACCAAGCUGCUGUCUCUCUGCGCACUGUUCUUUGUAGUUUACAACCUGGCAUCUGAGUAGCAUCUGGCAGAGAAAUGAAUUCGUAGCUAUUUACAUAAGAAUUAAUCUACAGAACCAGAGACGCCCUUCCUUUCCAGCAUGAAUUAUACCCAAC
This 314-nucleotide long non-coding RNA is filed under the name Physcomitrium patens. RNAcentral's name for it is "long non-coding RNA (PPAT_LNC002619)". Lineage: Eukaryota; Viridiplantae; Streptophyta; Bryopsida; Funariales; Funariaceae. The record is from RNAcentral.